RNAcentral lists this long non-coding RNA (603 nucleotides) under Macaca mulatta (Rhesus monkey). RNAcentral's name for it is "lncRNA (ENSMMUG00000062237.1)". The record is from RNAcentral. Lineage: Eukaryota; Metazoa; Chordata; Mammalia; Primates; Cercopithecidae.
UGCCAGAAAGUAGAUGCUGGAGCAGGAAGAGAGGAAGGAAGAAAAACUCUGGUCCCUCUAAUCUCUUGCCAGUGACUCAUUGGCUAAACCCAACUUGAAGCCAGAUAGUAAGUGGGAAAUUCAUUGAUGUCACCCUCCCAGGGAACAGAGCAAGGAAAGGAAGGGUGAAGAAUGAGUCUAUGGGGUAGAGAAGUAAAGAAUAACAUUCUUAUUCAUUAUACAGCUUCAUUUAUCUAUUUGCAUAUCUUUGUCACCCUCUAGACUGGAAACUAAGAGAAUGUGUCUGAUUUACCCCUAGUGCAUACCACAGUGAACAACACAGUGGGUAUUCAAUCAUUCAUGUUGAAUAAAUGAAGUAAUCUUAAUCCUUCCUAUAUCGGGUGGAUGUCUUCAGAAGUUGGGGUUGCAAUUUGUGUGGAUUGCUUGUCUUCAUAUUAUUAUGGGAGUGAAUGGAGCCAUCCUGUCCCAAAAAGAAUGUUCUAUCGAGUUUAAGGUGACUGAGUCAGACAAAUGGAGACUUAGAGCAAUAUUCUACUUAAACAGAACUCUGGAGCCUUGACAUAAUCUGAAAACAGAUGCAGUGUUGAUCACAGAGGAGGGUCA